GUUUUUGGUUGGCUUGUGUGUAGUUUCAAAAGAAGAAAAGCUUUCAUUUAGGACCCACUUCUAAGACUUGCUGCUACCAAUUUUAAAUUUUGUAAUGGUGAAUUGGUCACAUAGACUGUCAGAUUAGAUGUUGAAGGAAUUUGCAAUUUCAGCCGUCCAUUUCGGUGAUGUAUGGAAUGCCAGAGACACUGGUCUGUAAACGUAGAUGUUAUCUUGUGCCUGUUCGUGAUGUGGGCAUCAAAGCCUAGUAAAACGUGAUUGCUGAUUGGUGUUCCAGAUGCCUAAAAGCCUCUUUUUACUGUUUCUUUGAUAUAAACAGGGACGUCAACAUUCCACAGAUCAGGGGCUCAUCUCCAAGGAUUCCUCGGUACAGAAUGUGAACACCUGCAUGUCUUGUUUUCUAGUUUCUACCCUCAAGCAUUCAUCUUCACUGUAGAUGGUUUGUUGCAGCUGCUAAGAUUGUGAACCUCACAGCAUUCAAGAAUCUUCCCUGUAUAUAUGGAAAACUUCUUUCUCCAUUGUUUGAUACUCUUUCUAAC
Molecule: long non-coding RNA, 539 nt
Organism: Nymphaea colorata (pocket water lily)
Lineage: Eukaryota; Viridiplantae; Streptophyta; Magnoliopsida; Nymphaeales; Nymphaeaceae
Exons: 3
Source: RefSeq, a predicted model, not a curated record